AGCAGCCGCGGUAAUUCCAGCUCCAAUAGCGUAUAUUAAAGUUGUUGCAGUUAAAAAGCUCGUAGUUGAAUUUCGGGGUCAGUAGAUUGGUCGUGCCACUGGUAUGUACUGGUCUUACUGGCUCCUCCUUCCUGAUGAACCGUAAUGCCAUUAAUUUGGUGUUGCGGGGAAUCAGGACUGUUACUUUAGAAAAAUUAGAGUGUUUAAAGCAGGCAAGCGCUUGAAUACAUUAGCAUGGAAUAAUGAAAUAGGACGUUCGAUCCUAUUUUGUUGGUUUCUAGGAUUGACGUAAUGAUUAAUAGGGAUAGUUGGGGGCAUUAGUAUUCAAUUGUCAGAGGUGAAAUUCUUGGAUUUAUUGAAGACUAACUACUGCGAAAGCAUUUGCCAAGGAUGUUUUCAUUAAUCAGGAACGAAAGUUAGGGGAUCGAAGACGAUCAGAUACCGUCGUAGUCUUAACCAUAAACUAUGCCGACUAGGG
RNAcentral lists this small RNA (478 nucleotides) under uncultured Glomus. Its description in RNAcentral is "SSU rRNA". It matches the Rfam family "Eukaryotic small subunit ribosomal RNA", at positions 569 to 1051 of the family's 1831-position model. Lineage: Eukaryota; Fungi; Glomeromycota; Glomeromycetes; Glomerales; Glomeraceae. The record is from RNAcentral.